UACGUAGGGGGCGAGCGUUACCCGGAAUCACUGGGCGUAAAGGGUGCGUAGGCGGCCGCGUGUGUCUGGCGUAAAAUACCACGGCUCAACCGUGGGAAUGCGCUGGAAACUACGUGGCUUGGGUGCGGCAGAGGCAGACGGAACUGCUGGUGUAGGGGUGAAAUCCGUAGAUAUCAGCAGGAACGCCGGUGGAGAAGUCGGUCUGCUGGGCCGUAACCGACGUUGAGGCACGAAAGCUAGGGGAGCGAACCGG
Molecule: ribosomal RNA, 253 nt
Filed under: uncultured microorganism
Description: partial 16S ribosomal RNA
Rfam family: Bacterial small subunit ribosomal RNA
Source: RNAcentral